Small nucleolar RNA from Acomys russatus (golden spiny mouse), 73 nucleotides. RefSeq annotates it as small nucleolar RNA SNORD100. NCBI's taxonomy places the organism in Eukaryota, Metazoa, Chordata, Mammalia, Rodentia, Muridae. The transcript has a single exon. The record is from RefSeq and is a predicted model, not a curated record.
GCUGUACAUGAUGACAAUAGGCUCCCUCUACUGAACUCCUGUGAAGAAACUGCCUGUCACCUUCUGACACAGC